AAAUCAUGGGGUAAUUUUCAUUUUUGGGUGAAUUAUCCGUUUUUCGUGCUGCCUAGAGGACCAACGGCCACAUACCCGAAAUUGCAGUGAUUGACAUAAUGAUAAAGAUAACAAUGGACGGGAGAAAAAUAUAAUUUGUCAGUAUAGAUGUCCAAAUACCCACACUUGCGGUCUUGGUCACUUGAGAGCACGUGACAGGAAGUGCGUGCACAAGACUGUCGCAGGUCUUAAAAACGGCAAAGCGCAGUGCCCUUAACACACACUAAAUCCGGUAUUCGAGGCUUAGUGUAUCCCAUCAUGCAUCAUGUUCUGGAAAUAAAUCAUGAGACUUUUUGCCAAGACCUCGCGAGACAUCACAGAAACUUUUUCAGUGCAUGUUAAAUAUCAAUAAUAAUUAGAUAUUACAUAUAAUUUGGUAGUAAAACAAAGAGUAGCACAUUUUAUUGCUGCAAUUGAAUAGUGGUGAUCAUUAUUUUGUACAAUAUCCUUGUUAUCAUUUAAUUAGAAGCACCACAGAAUUAAAUUGUAUUAUCUGUUAUAGGGACUACUGAACAGACAUUUAAAAGUUUAUUUUAAAAUGAAAGGAAUUGAAAAUAAAAAUUAAGCUCUGUUAACACUUGGAUUUUUACAACAUUGUAAGUGUGUCCCAUCAGGUAAUGUAAAGUUCUACACACACGUGGUCUUCAUGCUCAUGACGUGGCAGUUUUCAAUUUCAAUAAAGGUUUUUCAGCAAACUCAGUGAUCCUCUGAGAAAACUAAUCCUGUCCGAAUGCGAAUGCGAAAACACUCCCAACUCAACUUUUGUACUUUCAUCAAAUGUGGAUGCUUUGAUCUCAUCCAAUCAUAAUGCAUAUUCAACAUAUGUGACCCUGGAGCACAAAACCAGUCAUAAGGGUCAAUUUUUCAAAAUUGAGAUUAAUAGAUCUUCUGAAAGUUGAAUAAAUCAUCUCUCCAUUGAUGUGUGGUUUGUUAGGAGGACAAUAUUUGUCUGAGAUACAACUAUUUGAAAAUCUGGAAUCUGAGGGAGCAAAAAAAUCUAAAUAUUGAGAAAAUCAUCUUUAAAGUUGUUCAAAUGAAGUUCUUAGCCAUGCAUAUUACUAAUCAAACAUUAAGUUUUAAUAUAUUUACGGUAGGAGAUUAACAAAAUAUCUUCAUGGAACAU
Molecule: long non-coding RNA, 1162 nt
Organism: Cyprinus carpio (common carp)
Lineage: Eukaryota; Metazoa; Chordata; Actinopteri; Cypriniformes; Cyprinidae
Source: Ensembl